CAACCCUCACGCCCCUGCGGCGUGGUGUUGGGGAUCGGCCUGGGCGUGAGCCCGGGCCGUCCCCUAAAUCUAGUGGCGGACUCGCUGUAGCCUCCUCUGCGUAGUAGUGAUAUUUCGCACCGGAGAGCGGCGGGCCCCUGCCGUAAAACCCCCACUUCUCAAGG
RNAcentral lists this unclassified non-coding RNA (164 nucleotides) under uncultured Bionectria. Its description in RNAcentral is "sequence contains ITS2". Lineage: Eukaryota; Fungi; Ascomycota; Sordariomycetes; Hypocreales; Bionectriaceae. The record is from RNAcentral.